GGAUUCAACGACGCNCGAGUUAUGUAUCUAACAUUGGUNCGGUUGGUUUAUGGUCUCACACCUGCGCCGGUCGUUUGACAUGCCUAACACAUGCAAGUCGAGCGAGAAAGGGUAGCAAUAUCCGAGUACAGCGGCGCACGGGUGAGUAACACGUGGGUAAUCUGCCUCGAAGUGGGGUAUAACACCGGGAAACCGGUGCUAAUACCGCAUAAUCUGAUUGGAUCUGCGGAUUUGAUCAGCAAAGGAGCAAUUCGCUUUGAGAGGAUGCCCGCGGCUGAUUAGCUAGUUGGUGAGGUAAUGGCUCACCAAUGGCCACGAUCAGUAGCCGGUCUGAGAGGACGGUCAGGCCACACUGGAACUGAGACACGGUCCAGACUACCUACGGGAGGCAGCAGCUAGGGGAAUUAUUUCGCAAUGGGGGCAACCCUGACGAAGCAACGCCGCGUGGACUGAUGAAGUCUCUAUGGGACAGUACAAAUCCUUUCGACGGGGACGAAACCGCAAGGUUGACGGUACCCGUAGAAGGAAGCCCCGGCUAACUCCGUGCCANCA
RNAcentral lists this ribosomal RNA (552 nucleotides) under uncultured bacterium. RNAcentral's name for it is "bacterial SSU rRNA". It matches the Rfam family "Bacterial small subunit ribosomal RNA", at positions 1 to 513 of the family's 1533-position model. The record is from RNAcentral.